UACGGGGGGAGCAAGCGUUGUUCGGAUUUACUGGGCGUAAAGGGCGCGUAGGCGGUCGUGACAAGUCACUUGUGAAAUCCCUCGGCUUAACCGGGGAACUGCGUCUGAUACUGGAUGGCUUGAGAUUGGGAGAGGGAUGCGGAAUUCCAGGUGUAGCGGUGAAAUGCGCAGAUAUCAGGAGGAACACCGGUGGCGAAGGCGGGUCUCUGGGCCGAUACUGACGCUGAGGAGCGAAAGCGUGGGGAGCGAACAGG
This 254-nucleotide ribosomal RNA is filed under the name uncultured bacterium. RNAcentral describes it as "partial 16S ribosomal RNA". It matches the Rfam family "Bacterial small subunit ribosomal RNA", at positions 524 to 776 of the family's 1533-position model. The record is from RNAcentral.